Molecule: ribosomal RNA, 364 nt
Filed under: uncultured Glomus
Lineage: Eukaryota; Fungi; Glomeromycota; Glomeromycetes; Glomerales; Glomeraceae
Description: SSU rRNA
Rfam family: Eukaryotic small subunit ribosomal RNA
Source: RNAcentral
AGCAGCCGCGGUAAUUCCAGCUCCAAUAGCGUAUAUUAAAGUUGUUGCAGUUAAAAAGCUCGUAGUUGAAUUUCGGGGUCAGUAGGUUGGUCAUGCCACUGGUGUGUACUGGCCUCACUGAUUCCUCCUUCCUGAUGAGCCGUAAUGCCAUUAAUUUGGUGUUGCGAGGAAUCUGGACUGUUACUUUAGAAAAAUUAGAGUGUUUAAAGCAGGCUAACGCUUGAAUACAUUAGCAUGGAAUAAUGAAAUAGGACGUUCGAUCUUAUUUUGUUGGUUUCUAAGAUUGACGUAAUGAUUAAUAGGGAUAGUUGGGGGCAUUAGUAUUCAAUUGUCAGAGGUGAAAUUCUUGGAUUUAUUGAAGACU